AGAACUCAUACCUUUCUCGGCCUUUUGGCUAAGAUCAAUUGUAGUAUCUGUUCUUAUCAGUUUAAUAUCUGAUACGUGGGCCAAUGGCUCACACGAUAUUAAAUUUAUUUUUUGAGGGGGAGGGCCCAUCACAGUUUCUUGCAACUGGGGUUCUCGAGCGGCGCCCAAGUGUUGCACUAUUGUUCGGGCCUGGUGCACCCCACCCAAUUACAGUUCAAAUGCUUCUAUGGUUCAGGUUCCAGGUUGCAGGCCCUAUGAAAAGAAGUAUGGCACCAUACAAAAAUAAAUUGAAGCUUUGGACGAGAUGGGCAUAUGCAUAUAAUAAUAGAAACGGUAUACUGAUAAAAUCAUCUAUUUCUUUCAACGAUAUGAUCUAAAAAGAUGUAGACUAAACUAUUCAUUUAUUUAUUUUUAUUGAAAAGAUGAAUAAAUUAUUCAUUUAAC
Molecule: long non-coding RNA, 444 nt
Organism: Hibiscus syriacus
Lineage: Eukaryota; Viridiplantae; Streptophyta; Magnoliopsida; Malvales; Malvaceae
Exons: 2
Source: RefSeq, a predicted model, not a curated record